GAUGAAGAACGUAGCGAAAUGCGAUAACUAAUGUGAAUUGCAGAAUUCAGUGAAUCAUCGAAUCUUUGAACGCACAUUGCGCCCGCCAGUAUUCUGGCGAGCAUGCCUGUUCGAGCGUCAUUUCAACCAUCAAGCCCCCGGCUUGUGUUGGGGACCUGCGGCUGCCGCAGGCCCUGAAAUCCAGUGGCGGGCUCGCCGUAGCACCGAGCGUAGUAGCACACUUCUCGCUCCGGUAGCAGCGGCGGGCGCUUGCCGUAAAACCCCCCCCUAAAAUCUCAAGGUUGACCUCGGAUCAGGUAGGAAUACCCGCUGAACUUAAGCAUAUCAAUAAGCGGAGGA
This 339-nucleotide unclassified non-coding RNA is filed under the name soil metagenome. RNAcentral's name for it is "partial contains 5.8S ribosomal RNA, internal transcribed spacer 2, and large subunit ribosomal RNA". The stretch from base 1 to 120 matches the Rfam family "5.8S ribosomal RNA", at positions 35 to 154 of the family's 154-position model. The record is from RNAcentral.